GAUGAACGCUGGCGGCGUGCCUAACACAUGCAAGUCGGGCGGACAGACGAGGUUCUUGUGCCUCUGGCGUUAGUGGCGGACAGGGGAGUAACAUGUGGAUAACCUACCCAUAAGACUGGGGUAACUUAGGGAAACCGGAGCUAAUACCGGAAAAUAUAAUGAACCGGAUGGGUGAAUUGGGAAAGAAGGGUUUGCUGGUAAUUUAAGAUGGAACCGCGGCGCAUUUGCUAGGUGGUAAGGUAACGGCUUACCAAGGCGACGAUGCGUAGCCGACCUGAGAGGGUGAUCGGCCACACUGGAACUGAGACACGGUCCAGACUCCUACGGGAGGCAGCAGUAGGGAAUCUUCCGCAAUGGGCGAAAGCCUGACGGAGCAACGCCGCGUGAGUGAUGAAGGUCUUCGGAUCGUAAAACUCUGUUAUUAGGGAAGAACAAAUGUGUAAGUAACUAUGCACGUCUUGACGGUACCUAAUCAGAAAGCCACGGCUAACUACGUG
Molecule: ribosomal RNA, 497 nt
Filed under: uncultured bacterium
Lineage: Bacteria
Description: partial 16S ribosomal RNA
Rfam family: Bacterial small subunit ribosomal RNA
Source: RNAcentral